Molecule: ribosomal RNA, 871 nt
Filed under: uncultured bacterium
Lineage: Bacteria
Description: bacterial SSU rRNA
Rfam family: Bacterial small subunit ribosomal RNA
Source: RNAcentral
CGAGCCAUGGUGCGUGCCUAAUACAUGCAGUCGAACGAGAACCCGGAGCUUGCUCCGGGGGACAGUGGCGAACGGGUGAGUAACACGUGAGAAACCUGCCCUAGAGACCGGGACAACCGUUGGAAACGGCGGCUAAUACCGGAUGCCUUCACAUGGUCGCAUGGCCGAGUGAAGAAAUGCUCAGGUGCUCUAGGAGAGUCUCGCGGCCUAUCAGCUAGUUGGUGAGGUAACGGCUCACCAAGGCAUCGACGGGUAGCUGGUCUGAGAGGACGAUCAGCCACACUGGGACUGAGACACGGCCCAGACUCCUACGGGAGGCAGCAGUAGGGAAUCUUGCGCAAUGGGGGAAACCCUGACGCAGCAACGCCGCGUGUGGGAUGACGGCUUUCGGGUUGUAAACCACUUUCAGUGAUGACGAAAAUGACGGUAAUCACAGAAGAAGGUCCGGCCAACUACGUGCCAGCAGCCGCGGUAACACGUAGGGACCGAGCGUUGUCCGGAUUUAUUGGGCGUAAAGAGCUCGUAGGCGGUUCUGUAAGUCGGAUGUGAAAACUCAGGGCUCAACCCUGAGACGCCAUCCGAUACUGCAGUGACUAGAGUCCGGUAGAGGAAGAUGGAAUUCCUGGUGUAGCGGUGGAAUGCGCAGAUAUCAGGAGGAACACCAAUGGCGAAGGCAGUCUUCUGGGCCGGUACUGACGCUGAGGAGCGAAAGCAUGGGGAGCAAACAGGAUUAGAUACCCUGGUAGUCCAUGCCGUAAACGUUGGGUACUAGGUGUGGGGUCUUCUAACGGGUUCCGUGCCGUAGCUAACGCAUUAAGUGCCCCGCCUGGGGAGUACGGCCGCAAGGCUAAAACUCAAAUGAAUUUGACGG